AACGCACAUUGCGCCCUCUGGUAUUCCGGGGGGCAUGCCUGUUCGAGCGUCAGUAAAACCUCUCAAGCAUAGCUUGGCAUUAGACGAAAUGGGGCCCCUCUGGGGGCUUUUCCGCCCGGCUGCCGGGCGCGUCUUUAUUAGAUAGGCGGCGUCGACCGGACCCCGAGCGCAUUAGAAACAUUCUCGCUCCAUGGGUUGUCAGGCCGGCGUUUUGCCCCGGAGAACACCAUUAAAUUUAACGAUUGACCUCGGAUCAGGUAGGAAUACCCGCUGAACUUAA
This 280-nucleotide unclassified non-coding RNA is filed under the name uncultured fungus. RNAcentral describes it as "partial contains 5.8S ribosomal RNA, internal transcribed spacer 2, and large subunit ribosomal RNA". The stretch from base 1 to 52 matches the Rfam family "5.8S ribosomal RNA", at positions 103 to 154 of the family's 154-position model. Lineage: Eukaryota; Fungi. The record is from RNAcentral.